This 1225-nucleotide long non-coding RNA is filed under the name Homo sapiens (human). RNAcentral describes it as "BDNF antisense RNA". The record is from RNAcentral. Lineage: Eukaryota; Metazoa; Chordata; Mammalia; Primates; Hominidae.
GGCUAGUAUCGCGAGAUCAGGAAGGUGGCCGAGUGUGUCGCCGCGGCCAUCAGGCACUUCUCCUUCCUGCCCUUGUAUGAAGAAGGAUGUGUUUGCUUCCCCUUGUGCCAUGAUUGUAAAUUUCCUGAGGCCUCCUCAGCCCUGCAGAACUGGCUAGAGCAAUGUAUCUUAGGCUCACUUAAGGAAGCUGUAGAGAUGAGCCCAAGGAGGGAAACCAGAAGAGCCCCCCAGGCUCACCAGUUGUUUGUUGGCUCCCUACAAACAUGUCAUUCAAGUGGCUAAUCUUACAACAGCACAAAUUCAUCUAACCAGAGAUACUCUAUUAUAGCAAAGAAGAAAGAUAAUUUCAUUGAGCCAUCCUGUUUUACAGGAAAUUCUGCAAGUGGCAACGUGGGUCCAUUCCGUGUGUGUCACUAGAGCUGGCGCAAGCCCAUGGCCAUGGUGAGGCAGCGUUUCCACUGGAACUAAUCUGAUACCUGCACCAGCUCUUGCAACUGUGCAGUGUUCCCACUGCAAACUACGGAUGGGGAUUUUCCCUCCUGGUGAGUCAAAAUGAACAAGAAAUACCCCAGGACCUCCCUUCCCUCCUUGGCCAUUAAUGAGAUGAAGGCAAUUAACUCACAUAGUAUAAAUGAAUCAUUUGAGGUGAUGACUGCAUUUUAGGCAAAUGAUGACUUUCUUGGUUCCAUUGGUUUGCAAGUAAAAGUUACACACAUUGAAAAGACACUGAAACAGAUUUCCUAAAUGCUUCAUUUUCUGGAUGCACCAAUGUUGACCUACUAUACAUGUUAAAUGGUUUUAAAAUAUCACCUUAAAAUAAAGGAAACUUCCAGCUACUAACUCAGCUCUGAAUGGGCUAUGAAAGGCUCCAAAGGUAUGUGAAAAAUUACUGUUAUUUUGCUUUAAAAAAUGUGAUGUCUAAGAGUGUCUGCAAUGUUCUAAUGCUUCAAAACAUGUACGUAAGCCUUGUUUAUCUGGAAAUCAUUUCUUUCUGCUUAUAUCAUUUAUAAAUAGAAAAUGUUCUGUAAUAACUUAAAAUAGUUCCACAUACAUAAUGCUUUUAGUGUCAUAAUACUUACUACUGGUCUAUAUUUACCAACAUUUAUCACAUUUUACAAAAUGAAGUAGAAGAAAAAAAAGACAACGACUUUAUGGCCCUGGAAUUCCAGUAAUGGUGACCAACAUGUUUUAAAUUCCAGUAAAGGUUAUGGUUACAUUUCAACAA